CUUUUUUUUUUUUUUUUUUUUGGAUUCUGACCGAGAGCAACAACAAGAACACAAUGGUCUGGACCUUUUUUUCCUUGUCCAAAAAUUUGGAAAUGUCUUCCAACAUUCAGCAUCCUGAUGAAAGUGAGAUUGUGUAAAUUUUUUUCCCCGGUGUAGAAGAAAUUAGAGUAUUACGGGUCUCCUCCGGCCUCAAGAGGGUUAAGAAAAUGGCAAACAAAAGCACGAGAACGGAAAGCCAGCGGUCUAAGCAUUUAAGAUUUUUUUUUUUAAAGAGAGGAUGCGAUGCUAUGAUUUCACUUUGAAAGUGUGAGAGCAUUAUAAUUCAUACCAUCAGUGGUGCAGAAGAAAUCAGAGUAUCAAGAGUCUCCUCCGGUCUCAAGAUCCUUAAGGUUUUGUCUGGCCAUGACAAGUUUCAUGAGAUCUAUGUUCUCGACAGAGAGGACCAACUAGUUAUUCAAUGUUGAAAGAUUGCAUAGGGUUCAUAUAGAGUGGUUAAUUUUUGAGGUUAUAAUGAUAGCUGGAGCAUCUAGAUAUCUCGAGCCUUUUCAAUUUCAACGUUUUAUUAAGGUGGAAGAAGAGGAUGCCUGCAGCAAGUGAUAAGUGAUUAUGAUAUAGGCUUUGAGAUUCGACUCUGAUAACACUUCAGUAUUUGUGUUCACUUGUAGCUUUUCUAAUAUUGUUUGAUUUUUAAUUGUAGUAAUACCCUUUCAUAUUACAGCAAUUAUUUGAAAAUUGUAGUUCAUGGCAUUUUGCAGUCUGAUUCAUGUCUCUCACAAGCUAGGACAUAUUUGUUAAAGGAC
Long non-coding RNA from Coffea eugenioides, 800 nucleotides. RefSeq lists it as uncharacterized. The record is from RefSeq and is a predicted model, not a curated record. Lineage: Eukaryota; Viridiplantae; Streptophyta; Magnoliopsida; Gentianales; Rubiaceae. The transcript is spliced from 7 exons.